This 397-nucleotide ribosomal RNA is filed under the name uncultured bacterium. Its description in RNAcentral is "partial 16S ribosomal RNA". It matches the Rfam family "Bacterial small subunit ribosomal RNA", at positions 523 to 918 of the family's 1533-position model. The record is from RNAcentral.
AUACGUAGGGGGCGAGCGUUGUCCGGAAUGAUUGGGCGUAAAGGGCGCGUAGGCGGCCCGGUAAGUCUGGAGUGAAAGUCCUGUUUUUAAGAUGGGUAUUGCUUUGGAUACUGUCGGGCUUGAGUGCAGGAGAGGUAAGUGGAAUUCCCAGUGUAGCGGUGAAAUGCGUAGAGAUUGGGAGGAACACCAGUGGCGAAGGCGACUUACUGGACUGUAACUGACGCUGAGGCGCGAAAGUGUGGGGAGCAAACAGGAUUAGAUACCCUGGUAGUCCACACUGUAAACGAUGAAUGCUAGGUGUAGGGGGUAUCGACCCCUUCUGUGCCGCAGUCAACACAAUAAGCAUUCCGCCUGGGGAGUACGGCCGCAAGGUUGAAACUCAAAUGAAUUGGCGGGG